UGAGACGUGCCUUUAAUAACUAUGUAUGCAAGUUAUGGUGAGUUGUUGCCUUUCCAGAUUAGAGAGAUGUUUGCCAGCCCGGGUUCUCAUUAUAUCUAAACUUGAUAGAACAGUCCAUGAACAAUCUGCAAAAGGUAUGGUGGGCGGUGGGGUCCUGUGGAGGGUAGAAAGAUAGGUUGAGUUAAUUAAAAGGAGUGCAAAUUGAGGUUUUUCUUGGUUUCAUUGGAGAAUGAAUGCUGAAGAAAUUUUCAGAUAUACUAAUUUGGAUUAUUUCAGAAUUAGUGGUACUUUGGGCCAUUAAUCGUUUUGGACAUUUUAUAAAUACCUCUUGAAGGCUGAGAGCUCUAAAAAAACCUUGAAAGCACGCAUCAUAGUAUAUAGCUAUGUUAAUUGUUGCUUAAGCAUUUGAUUUUUACUAUUUUGACAAAGAUGUGUACUGGUAGAUAUGCUUACAUCAGGCUAUUAAAGAGAAUGUUCAUAGAAUCUUCCUGAGUGCUGAAUAGGCUUUAAAUGCUGUUCAAUGUUGCACUUAUAGUCACUACCUAGAUGUCAGCUUGUUUAGUUCUGUUUAUAUCUUGCUGUUAUCUGUCUGUUGUAGGUGCCUUUCAUCAUUUUGUUCAUAGUUUCAUUUCCUGAGCAAGAUUUAAAUAUGUUUUCAUUUAUCCAUAAUUGUUGUAUGGCUAGGCACUUUGGCUGAUGAUCCAUCAGCCUUGGUGUAAAAAGUGAAGUACAAUA
This 735-nucleotide unclassified non-coding RNA is filed under the name Hevea brasiliensis (rubber tree). The record is from RNAcentral. Lineage: Eukaryota; Viridiplantae; Streptophyta; Magnoliopsida; Malpighiales; Euphorbiaceae.